UGAGGUAUGGCUCAAGUAGUAGAGCAUCUGUCUAGCAAGUAUAAGGCCCUGAGUUCAAUCCUCACUGCCACCA
This 73-nucleotide transfer RNA is filed under the name Dipodomys ordii (Ord's kangaroo rat). It matches the Rfam family "tRNA". From Rfam's summary of the family: Transfer RNA (tRNA) molecules are approximately 80 nucleotides in length. The record is from Rfam by way of RNAcentral. Lineage: Eukaryota; Metazoa; Chordata; Mammalia; Rodentia; Heteromyidae.